UACGAAGGGUGCUAGCGUUGUUCGGAAUCACUGGGCGUAAAGCGCGCGUAGGCGGCGUAACAAGUCAGAGGUGAAAGCCUGGAGCUCAACUCCAGAACUGCCUUUGAAACUGUUAUGCUAGAGUGUUGGAGGGGAUAGCGGAAUUGCUAAUGUAGAGGUGAAAUUCGUAGAUAUUAGCAGGAACACCGGUGGCGAAGGCGGCUAUCUGGACAACAACUGACGCUGAGGCGCGAAAGCGUGGGGAUCAAACAGG
Molecule: ribosomal RNA, 253 nt
Filed under: uncultured bacterium
Lineage: Bacteria
Description: partial 16S ribosomal RNA
Rfam family: Bacterial small subunit ribosomal RNA
Source: RNAcentral